RNAcentral lists this ribosomal RNA (169 nucleotides) under Platymiscium albertinae. RNAcentral's name for it is "5.8S ribosomal RNA". It matches the Rfam family "5.8S ribosomal RNA". Rfam says of the family: 5.8S ribosomal RNA (5.8S rRNA) is a component of the large subunit of the eukaryotic ribosome. It is transcribed by RNA polymerase I as part of the 45S precursor that also contains 18S and 28S rRNA. The record is from RNAcentral. Lineage: Eukaryota; Viridiplantae; Streptophyta; Magnoliopsida; Fabales; Fabaceae.
GUCUAAAAUGACUCUCGACAACGGAUAUCUCGGCGCUUGCAUCGAUGAAGAACGUAGCGAAAUGCGAUACUUGGUGUGAAUUGCAGAAUCCCGUGAACCAUCGAGUUUUUGAACGCAAGUUGCGCCCGAAGCCAUUAGGUUGAGGGCACGCCUGCCUGGGUGUCACUAA